This is a non-coding RNA of Vicugna pacos (alpaca), 97 nucleotides long. The record is from RefSeq and is a predicted model, not a curated record. Lineage: Eukaryota; Metazoa; Chordata; Mammalia; Artiodactyla; Camelidae.
UUCCCUACACUAUUCUCUUCCGUUGGGCACUGGGAAGAGGAGCCCCCAGAGCAUUAGGCUUUGAAGGUCAGCGGGACUUAAUUGCAGGAGCUCCACA